Molecule: ribosomal RNA, 216 nt
Filed under: Glomeromycotina sp.
Lineage: Eukaryota; Fungi; Glomeromycota
Description: partial small subunit ribosomal RNA
Rfam family: Eukaryotic small subunit ribosomal RNA (bases 44-216)
Source: RNAcentral
GGGUCAGUAGGUUGGUCGUGCCACCGGUACGUACUGGUCUCACUGAUUCCUCCUUCCUGAAGAACCGUAAUGCCAUUAAUUUGGUGUUGCGGGGAAACAGGACUGUUACUUCGAAAAAAUUAGGGUGUUUAAAGCAAGCUAACGCUUGAAUACAUUAGCAUGGAAUAAUGAAAUAGGACGAUCGAUCCUAUUUUGUUGGUUCCUAGGAUUGACGUA